This is a non-coding RNA of Arachis ipaensis, 315 nucleotides long. The record is from RefSeq and is a predicted model, not a curated record. Lineage: Eukaryota; Viridiplantae; Streptophyta; Magnoliopsida; Fabales; Fabaceae.
GUCAGGUUCCGGGUCUUGCAUGUUGAGUUUUAUGGUUGUCGCAUGUAACACCUAGCUACUGCGUCGCCAUCGGAGCUCUCUGCCACUGUGCGGAUCGUUGGGAGUUGUCACCGGAGUUGCUAUAGUUCCAUUCUCUUGUUCCUCUGUUACUGUUGUUAGCUGGUGCCUUUGUGGCUGUUGCCGCCGCGAAAUCUAGUUGAGGUUGACACCGUUGUUUUCGAGCUGAGGGAAAGGAGUUCAAUUGAUGCAUUAGGUUCGGGUUUCGACUAUUUGAGGAAUCGGAUGAAGAAGCCUUAUAAAGAGUUAUAUUGCAUU